Triticum aestivum (bread wheat) is the source of this 2909-nucleotide long non-coding RNA. RefSeq lists it as uncharacterized. The record is from RefSeq and is a predicted model, not a curated record. NCBI's taxonomy places the organism in Eukaryota, Viridiplantae, Streptophyta, Magnoliopsida, Poales, Poaceae. The transcript is spliced from 2 exons.
UCCUCGCGAUGUCCACGUCGGACUAGCUACCAGCCAAAAAGGUUUGCUUCAUCGAGAAGAAAGAGAGAAAGAGGUUGGCCUCGAGCAAGAGGGAGGAAGUUGCCUCGAGCCCACCCCUUCCUUAUCCUUUCCUCCAAAAUUUCACAUCGCACGCAACCUUCUCUCGUGACGCCGCCGCCUCCUCUUCUCUCCCCCGAUUCUCCUUCGCCUGUUCCGAGCCCCUCCUCUUCUCUGUGCCGGCUGCUCGACGCGCCGUGCCACCGCUGCGGGAGAAGGUGAACACGAGGAGAUGCAGGGUGGGUGGCCUUGCCGGAAGAGGGUGACGCCGGAAACCACCCGCUGGCCAAGGACCGCGUGGGCUGGCACUUCCCCGCGGCGCCCUCCUUCCCCGACUUCGCGACGGAACCAGAGUCACUCGAGGCCGGGGUGCGAGAUGAUCUGUUAGUUGGAUUUGGAUUUGGAUCCAAAAGAGUCACUCGAGGCCGGCUGGCUGAGGGGGCGGAUCUGGAUCCAAGCGGCCCCUCGUGUGUUUGAUCUGUUAGUUGACAUGAUCUUAUUUCCUCUCAUCUCCCCUCUCUUCUCUCACUGACCCUUCUGGUCUCAUUUCUGCUGGUAGAGCGGCCAGAGGAGCAGGCCAACAUCCCUCUUUACCUCCCACCCAACACCAACGUGGUGAGCUUCCCCUCUCCACCAUGUACCCCUAGAUCUGAACAUCAACUGCAGUUUGUACGUUUUGGUUAUACUCUAUUUCAGUUUAUACAAAUCUCGUUUUGGUUAAACUUCUGUCUUAGAUGCCAUUGCUGAAACUAGAGCAAACAGGACACAUAAAACCUACAGCGAAAGGAUUACACACUUUUAUCAGGUGUUAAGUUCAGCUUCCUUGACCAUGGCAGUGCUAAGUAAAUUUAUAAUUGGAUUCUGCUGAUAUGUGGAUAGGUAGCCUAACUGGUGAUGGUUAGCCUCACCCUGUUGAAUCUGAUCGGGUAAUGUGAGAACCAAAAUGAAUUUAUUUUGCUCCGUUUCUUACAAGCACUGGUCUUAAGUAGAUGCCACAAGCUCAUCUUCAAUGGUGGAUUUUAUUAUGUCGUGCCUAUUAAGCAGCCAAAGAUCAGAUAUUUGACUCCAUCACUAAUAGUAAGAUGCACACAAAAAAUAUCUGCACCCAGUCAUUCUCAUUCACUGAAGCUUGGUUCUUUGUUAUAUGAAUCAGUUAGAUUUCUACAAAAGCGAUUCUUGUUGCUAGGUGCAUCAUCGUCAAGGAUGUGUUUUCCCCACUUGGGAGCAACAUCUAGAAUAUAUUUUCCUAUGAACGCGCGAGAUUGCCUAUGUGCUGUUAGAUUUGAUCUUCAGAAUAUUUGCAAGUGAUGUCUUUCUGCACUGUAUUCAGUUCAAUAGAAUAGCACUGCACCCCUAAUUCAAGAAUGCAAUUUUAGAGUUAUACUAAGAACAGUACAUGUGCAAGGCGAAUUGAAAUUGAAAUUUCGCAUGUACACCUGCAAAAAGGAGAUGACCUGCAUGAGUGCAAAGGCUAAGGUGAGGUAUGUGCAAUCUUGAUGUACCACCAUGUAAGAAAACUGGAGUGUCUGCAUAAUUUUUCCUAUGGAACUAUCAUGGAAACCAGAUGCUUAUUCUUGAAAUGGUUGCUCAUAUCAAAGAAGAGGCUUCCUUUGGCGCCGUUUUGGGGUUCUUACCCGAGUUCUGUUCUAAUUACUAGAUGAUGUUGUCUUGAUGCUGUUCUUCCCAGAUGAUGGCAAUAUGACAUUGACAAGUGUAGUGGUUCGGUUUGGAGAAAGAGAGAAUAAAGUAUCCCUAUACAUCAGUACAUGUGGCUACUAAUGUAAGAAUACAAAAAGUCGCUUCAGUAGCUUUCACAGGUUCAUCAAGGAGUUGGUUGUUCAAGCUGAAUCCCUCCACACCCAAAUGAUAAAGCUUGUUUUUUUAAUGACCAAGCUAAUUUAGGAAACGUUGCUAACCCAGGCUAAGAAAUUAGUUCUCAGAUGAGGUGUCAUAUGCCAGCAGUAGUUGUUUUAUGAGUCUACCCAAGUGUCAGAGUAACUAUCUUGCUUUUAAUUGUGAUGCCGAUUAUUUACAUUUCAGAGCUCAUUUCUUAUAUAUGACUUCUUGUGUGUAUCAUGAUAGAUUGUAUACAACUGAUCUUAGCUCAUUUUAUUAUUCAGAGACUUCCAACUAAUUAUCAUAUGCUAAUCAUUCUCUUUCCUUUUUAUUUCCUUUCCAUUUGCCAAUUAGAUAGGUUCAUUAGAAAUCCAACUGUCAAUGAGAAUGCCAUGAACCUCAUUUUUGGUUCAAUAAAUCGUUCAACUUCUUUUAUAUAUUUGCAUGUGGAAACAGCAUAUGUUAAUUUUCCAUUUAUGUUUCAACAUACACAUGUGCACACAUUUGUACUGAUUAAUUGUUCGUGAAACGAUCUGCCGACAUACUCACAUGAUACUUUUAGUUUUGUUGUCUUAUUAUUUCCCUUUUUCUCUGCUCUCUAUUUUUUCAUCUUGCUUCACUUUCGAUCAAUCGUCGCAGCAAUUGCUUCUUACCGAUUUUUUUUUUUUUCUCAAAUGCACAGCGCAACGAAGAUGACCUUCCAAAGUACAUCAUAUGUGGUAUGUACAUUCCUGUGCCCGACGCGCUGGACUGGAGGCCGAGCGGCGCCGUCACCAUGGUCAAGCACCAGGGCAAGCGUGGUGCUUGUUGGAGCUUCCAGCUACAGGUGCCAUGGAAGGAAUAAACAUGAUCACAACGGGCUCUCUUCUCAUCCUUCCUGAGUAGAAACUAAUCGGCUGUGACAGAUCCCACAAUGCUGGUUGUGGCCGGUAGGCUCAUGAACUAUGCUUAUAAGUUUGUGAUUAAUAAUGGUGGGAGUGACACGAAGGAUGACUACCCGUUUGGUGAAUCAGAUG